This 171-nucleotide ribosomal RNA is filed under the name uncultured bacterium. RNAcentral describes it as "partial 16S ribosomal RNA". It matches the Rfam family "Bacterial small subunit ribosomal RNA", at positions 339 to 525 of the family's 1533-position model. The record is from RNAcentral.
CUACGGGAGGCAGCAGUGGGGAAUUUUCCGCAAUGGGCGAAAGCCUGACGGAGCAAUGCCGCGUGGAGGUGGAAGGCCUACGGGUCGUCAACUUCUUUUCUCGGAGAAGAAACAAUGACGGUAUCUGAGGAAUAAGCAUCGGCUAACUCUGUGCCAGCAGCCGCGGUAAUA